RNAcentral lists this ribosomal RNA (253 nucleotides) under uncultured bacterium. RNAcentral's name for it is "partial 16S ribosomal RNA". It matches the Rfam family "Bacterial small subunit ribosomal RNA", at positions 524 to 776 of the family's 1533-position model. The record is from RNAcentral.
CACGUAGGGCGCGAGCGUUGUCCGGAAUUAUUGGGCGUAAAGAGCUCGUAGGCGGCCUGUUGCGUCCGCUGUGAAAGCCCGGGGCUUAACCCCGGGUCGGCAGUGGAUACGGGCAGGCUAGAGGUAGGUAGGGGAGAAUGGAAUUCCCGGUGUAGCGGUGAAAUGCGCAGAUAUCGGGAGGAACACCAGUGGCGAAGGCGGAGACCUGGGCCGAUACUGACGCUGAGGUGCGAAAGCGUGGGGAGCAAACAGG